Molecule: ribosomal RNA, 253 nt
Filed under: uncultured bacterium
Lineage: Bacteria
Description: partial 16S ribosomal RNA
Rfam family: Bacterial small subunit ribosomal RNA
Source: RNAcentral
UACAGAGGGUGCAAGCGUUAAUCGGAAUUACUGGGCGUAAAGGGUGCGUAGGUGGUUAAUUAAGUCAGAUGUGAAAUCCCUAGGCUUAACCUAGGAAUUGCAUUUGAAACUAAUUUGCUAGAGUACGGGAGAGGGAAGUGGAAUUUCCGGUGUAGCGGUGAAAUGCGUAGAUAUCGGAAGGAACACCGGUGGCGAAGGCGGGUCUCUGGGCAGUAACUGACGCUGAGGAGCGAAAGCGUGGGGAGCGAACAGG